This 280-nucleotide long non-coding RNA is filed under the name Cotesia glomerata. RNAcentral describes it as "uncharacterized LOC123271964". Lineage: Eukaryota; Metazoa; Arthropoda; Insecta; Hymenoptera; Braconidae. The record is from RNAcentral.
UAUCUCGAACUGUCAGUAAUUUUAGCGACAAUCUAUGUGAUUACAAUGAUCAUUCUUUAGAGCGAUUUUUGAAAAUUUCUCUUAUUGAAAAAGACAGGUUAUAUUCUGAAAAAAAAUAUGGAGUAAAAAAACUUGAUGAGAGCUAUGCUGCCCUAGAGAAUAAGUUCCAAUCACAAUUUGGAAUAGUACCUGAAUCUACCUACAGAAAGAUUAAUCAAGAUCAUUGUUCCAUGAUAGCUAAAGUGAAGAAAUUAUAUAACGCUGAAAGUGACAAGUAAAU